AAUCUCAUAGUGGAAUUGUAAAGACGUUAGAUUGCAAAUCUAAAAAUGUGAAUUAUUCACUGAGAUUU
Molecule: transfer RNA, 68 nt
Filed under: Coenobita variabilis
Lineage: Eukaryota; Metazoa; Arthropoda; Malacostraca; Decapoda; Coenobitidae
Also listed under: 1 other name
Description: tRNA-Cys
Rfam family: tRNA
About the family: Transfer RNA (tRNA) molecules are approximately 80 nucleotides in length.
Source: RNAcentral